CCAGCGGCUCGUGCCAGAAGGCCACGUGGGGAGGGGUGCGGGGGAUGACAAUGCCUCAAAUCUGCCGCUUUUGUUGGGGUGUUACCAGGCAGACUGGAGCCUGCAGAUUUCAUCUCGCCUGGCUUUUUUUUUUUUUUGAAGUCCUUAAAAGGAAAAAGUAAAAAAAAAAAAAAAAGAAAAAACCCAACCCACAAAAACCUUGUUUGCUUAUAUGAUGCUGCAAUUUGCGAAAAGCACCUUUAUAGAAGCAAAGGGAUUUUUUUUUGCAUUUUGUAUUGCUACCUUUCUAUUUGUUUCUUUUCUUUAAUUUGAAGUCUAUGAGACUGUUGCAUUGGAGCCAGAAAUUAAGGUAAAAACAGGUAGCGCCAGUUAGAGGCUUGCAAAAGGCAGUGGGCACAGCCCCCUGCAGCUGACCACUAGCGUCCCGAGCGCGCUGGUGAUGCCUGCCAGGCAUACUCAAUGUGUACAUUGAGCCGUCUCUGGAAGAUCCCACCCCACCUCCCCGCCCUUGGCCGAGCGCGGCGGGGCGCGGGAGACGGGGGCGGGCGGGGACGAGCAGAUUGCGGCCGGCGCACGCCGCUCGUUUGCAUUUCUAUGGAGGGCGCACAAUAGCAGAGGUCUGGCGUGUGGCGGUUUGCUGUAGGGACAAUCGAGGCUUUCUCUUCAUAGCAACACUGUCCACCUGCCGCCGGGUGGGGUGGGCAGGACCCCGCCGCGCGUGGGGGUCGCCGGGCUGCCUGGCGCGUGGGGUCGAGGCUGAGUGCCACUCCGUGGUCCCUGAGUGCACGCCCCCAGUACUGGCCCUGCUACAAGUAAUUCCCUUCCAUCCGUUCCUCGCACGGGUGCCGAACAGCCGCGCGAGUUGGGAAGGACGGAGAGCUGCUGUGCAGUCUUCGCGGCUGGACGCCCUGUGGCCGGGACCCCGCGGCUGCAGCCCCUGGAGCUUAGGUAAUGCAGCUCGGAAUCUUUCCCGGGGCGCCAUCUGCAGGCAGGUUAAAAAGAUCCUGAACCCCUUUUGUCCUCCCCUCCCCCCAACACACACACCCUUGCAUUGGCCUGGCGCGGGGGAAGGGCGGUGGAGAGGGACGGCCACGGAGCUGCCCGGCCGGGCCCAGUGAGCCCUGUCCAAGCUGCGCAUAAAUAGAACCCGAGUAAGGGCUGCAAAACGCAUUCAGGUGGGACUGCAGUUACCCUGGGGAGUAGAGGGCAAAAGGAAAUUCCCAUCCAGUACUGAUGGAGUAAGAGCCCCUACGUCUUAUACCAUGUUGAAAUAUCUUAAUUACUUAAAUGCGCAUAUGUAAAAAGCCUUUUUUCCGGCAAUGGAAUAAGUCUGGAAGAGAUCUUGGGAGAGUUUAAUAGGCUAGAGGUUGCUGCCGUUUGACCAUACACGCUGGCACUUUCAGAGGAUUCACCCACUGAGCACCUUCUGUGCUACGUGAAAAGGCGCGCUGGGGGACACCUCAUUGCUUCCUUUUUUUGGGUGAAGCCUUGGAGACUGGCCAGGACAGUGGCGGGCCGGGUGGAUUGGAUGGAAACCCGGGCCCUGCCGCAAGACUGGGGCGAUAAUGGGAAAGUAAACAACGCCGUGGCUUUGUUCCUUUCAUUCAGGCUUUCUUCAGGUGGGUGGUGAAUGUACAAGGUACUUCUGAAUUUGUUAUGGGGAAGUUUCCAUUCUGCGCUUGCAGGCAGGCACUUCUGCCAAGGUGAGAAGCUGGCGUCUUGCGCCCCCCAGCGGCUUCCUGGCAGAGGAGAGCUGCAAAAGCCCGGCCCUUCCUGGAUUCUAAGAAUGAAGAGCUUGCUCUCCUAGCAUUUCUGAACUCCAGAGGUGUCUCCUAAGGACGGGGGGAGAGGGGAGGGGGAAGCGGAGCCAGGCGGCAUUAUGCCCCGUUUGUUCGCUAGUUUCUUUUCUUUCUUGAUGUAUAAAAUGAUGAUAUGCCUUGAUUGGAUAAAAUAUGUUAAUUUUAAGUGAUUGGAAUAUAGGUAUUACUCUUUUAAAACUAUUAAACUUUUCUUUUCUUUUCUUUUCUUUUUUGAGACGGAGUCUCGCUCGGUUGCCCAGGCUGGAGUGCGGUGGCACAAUCUCGGCUCACUGCAACCUCCGCCUCCCGGGUUCAAGCGAUCCUUCUGCUUCAGCCUCCCGAGUAGCUGGGACUACAGGGUGAAGCAUGAAUCUGCACAUGGGGAGGCUUCAGAGGACAACUGAGACAAGAAGCAGGAAGCUGAGAAAGGAGGACACCUCCCACACACACAUCUAGCAAAAGCUGGACAUUUCUGGUCAGUCAUCCUUAUGCAAAGACUUUCUGGAAGGAGCAGUUAUUCUUGGGUGAGCACUUAUGUAGCAUGAAAGAGGUUAACAUUAGCCCAGGGAAAUCCUUCAAAGUAAUUGAGGGGGAAGGAUACAUUAUUUAUGCAUUUGUUCCCUUCUCUAUCGACAGUAAGAAAUGAUUCAUGGCACCUGUCACAGUCCUAGGUAGUGACAGACACCAGCCUGCACUGUAGCUGAAAACCCCUGAGAAGCCACAGAUGUGCAGUCUUCCCAGCUUGACUACAUGCCCAAGUCUUCUGAACCUUAGUUUCCCAACCUAGGAAAUAAAAAUUGUGCCCUUUACCCCUCAUGAACCUUAUUGGGGUCUUAUAAGAUUGCUCCUGGUUGCCAUUUGGCCCACAGAUGGGUUUAGUUUGGUGGACAGUGUCCCGAAAGACUUACAAAUUCAGAUCUGACUUGUUCAUUUGUGUAGGGGAGAGUUGGUGGCACACAUCCUCUCUGUCACUGUAAGUAUGUUCCAAAUGUCACAUUAGGUCCACUGGCACGUGUAAGCCCUGUCUGGCAUUUGCCUGGUCCCUGCAGGCAUUUGGGUUGGCAGUAAACUUUCUUUUCUAACAGAUUUCUGGAAAUGUUUACAUGUAGCAUAUAAUAGAAUAAUAGAACCACAGAACUUCCACAGUAAAGCCUUCCUUCUUUUAUGUUCCAAAAGCUAAAAUGUACUAACAACCUCCAAAAGGCACUAUGACAUUGGAGUUUAAACUUUGUGGAGCAGGACUCAAAGCUGGACUUAGCUGCUUGCUAACUUUGACCUUGAGUGAAGAGUUAGCAGAUGAUUUAAAGUGUAAAGUAGAAAGAAUUCAUGCUGGUUAGCCCAUUAAAUACCCGUUAAUUAAGCUCUCCAAAAACGCCAUUCAAAAAUGUAUAUGAUAAUCAAAUAUUUAUUGCAAUGUUUCUUAAAAUAGUGAAAAAUUAGAAAACAUUAUAGGGGGCUAGUGUUAAAUCAUGGUGUAACCAGAAAUGAAACAUUAUGCAACCAUAAAAAGGAGUUCUGAAGAGUAGUUCCCGGCAUGAUAUAAUGUGAAAAAAAGCAAAAUACGAAAUUGUGCAAUUCUAAUUUUGCAAAAACUUUCAGCGUACACGACUAUCACUGUAUAAAGUCACAAAGUAGGAAUGGUGAUUGUAUCUUGGAGUGAUGAGAUUAUAAGUGAUUUUUAAUUUUCUUCACUAUGCUUUACUGCAAUUAAACAUUUACAAUUCAAUUUUAUUUAACAAAAAUAUAUAAAACUUCUCAAAUGGAGUAACUUCAGUACCAGACAUCCUCAACCUGACUGCUCUGGAGGUUAUUGUGCAGAGCAAUCUUUGACCAUAUGGUCACAGAUCCAGAAGCCAGACGUCUGUGGGGCUUUGCUCCUGAGACUGUGACCUUUGAUUCCUGCACUCCUCCUCUUGCCAUCUGACGCCGGUCUGCGCCUGUGACUGAGUGAAAAUCGUCAUAACUGUACUCGGAGGUUAACUCUGGCAUGACUGGGAUGGAAUCCCAGGCAACAUGCUGGAGGCAGGAAAGAAGGCCAGCCGGCAAGUCAGAACCAAACACCCUGGACGGCACCUUUCCUUACAAAUGCGGUUCACAGGACCCUUGGGGAUCCUCUGCGCACACUGAGGCAAGCAGCAAUGGAAGAAAUUAUCUUCCACUCCCUUCUUGUUGAAAAUGUCUGUUUUCCAGAAAUGAAUUACAGUAAUAGAUUAUGAAAAUUGUUUCCAUUGCCUACAUAACACAGCAGGGAAUUCUAAAAUUUCAAAACAUGUAAUAUACUCAACCUGUGCUUGAGACUGUAGGGUAUUA
Molecule: long non-coding RNA, 4109 nt
Filed under: Homo sapiens (human)
Lineage: Eukaryota; Metazoa; Chordata; Mammalia; Primates; Hominidae
Description: HSALNT0353493
Source: RNAcentral